AAGAAACUGAAUUACAAAUGUAAACCACGGAAAAUAUUCACAACAUAUUUAGUAUGAAUACAACUUACAACUUUCAAAAGAUUUUCAUUGGGGUUCUUCAUAAGAAUUGUUGCAGUAUAGAAAGAACAAGUUUUGGUUUCUGAUGGAAGAUUAAUCCAUAUGAAAAACAUCUCAGUUGUAUUCAGACAGACCACACAGAUCAUUUCCUAAACUUUUUAAGGUAAUAAGGCUAUUUUCUGUCAUAAAAUUUCAUGUGUGAUAUAUUUUCUUUCUUUAUUUGUAACAAAUAAGAAACUUCUUUGAUUUAACUAAGUGUUGAAGCCUGGGAGCUUUAGGGGUGAAAAUGUGUCAGGGUGAUAAGACGGGGAAGUACUUUUAUGUCACAAAGGAGAUUGUUGCCUCACUGAUUGGUUCAGUUUGUCCAUUUCCCAUCAAAACCCUGUGAUAAGAUUUGCUGACCAAUUUAUCAGAGGUGGGGCUCCAAACAUGGAAACGAUAAACGUUUGGAGUCGAUCCUCAGGAGUGUUUCAAAGGACUUUUACCCACCAUGAGAUGAUUAUGUAGAAUUUUGUGUUGUAGUUAUAACAGGAAUGAUUUUGCUUUGACACCAGGAGCAGACACAAGUUCAUGUGAGGUUUGUGUCAGGAAAGAAAAACCAGAAUAAAAUCCUAAUAAAGAAAGAAGCCUGCAUCUAACACAACAGCCUCUCUGCACACACUCAGGCUGAUACUAAGAACACAAAACUGAUUAUAUGUCAGCAGCGCCUGAAUUUUAAGCAAGCAUGAAAUUAGGCAAGAGGCAAGUGUAAUCAACUAUUACAAAUAAAAUAUCAAAUAUAAACAUUUAUAACAAAGAACCUUCAUAUGGUGUGUUUCUAAAUAUGCCUUAAGCAAAUUAUUCAUUAGAAUGUGGCUUUAAACCCUGAUAGCAUGUUGAUGGAAGACUGAGAUGAGGCUCAUCACUGCUGAAAACGUGCACCGAAAGAGCUGAAAAGAGUUUGACAAAAACAUAUCGACGUAAACAAAACAUCUUGAGGGUUAUAUAUCAAACAAAUCUUGGUGCUAAGAAGUCUCAAUAGGAGCACCUAAAUUAAUUAGAUACUUAUCUUGGAACUUUAGAGUAAAAUCUGCAUAAAAACUUUUUAAAAAUCUGCUGUUUUUCAUAAUUAAAG
Long non-coding RNA from Astatotilapia calliptera (eastern happy), 1171 nucleotides. Lineage: Eukaryota; Metazoa; Chordata; Actinopteri; Cichliformes; Cichlidae. The record is from Ensembl.